UACGGAAGGGGCAAGCGUUGUUCGGAAUCAUUGGGCGUAAAGGGCGCGUAGGUGGUCUUGCAUGUCUAUCGUGAAAGGGUACAGCUCAACUGUAGCUCGUCGGUAGAAACUGCAGGACUUGAGGCUGGGAGGGGCUGGUGGAAUUCCCUGUGUAGCGGUGAAAUGCGUAGAGAUGGGGGAGAACACUCGUGGCGAAGGCGGCCAGCUAGACCAGUUCUGACACUGAGGCGCGACAGCGUGGGGAGCAAACAGGAUUAGAUACCCUGGUAGUCCACGCUGUAAACGAUGGGCACUAGGUGCCGGCGGUCUUGAUCCCGUCGGUGCCGGCGCUAACGCAGUAAGUGCCCCGCCUGGGGAGUACGGUCGCAAGGCUGAA
RNAcentral lists this ribosomal RNA (376 nucleotides) under uncultured bacterium. Its description in RNAcentral is "bacterial SSU rRNA". It matches the Rfam family "Bacterial small subunit ribosomal RNA", at positions 524 to 898 of the family's 1533-position model. The record is from RNAcentral.